GAUGAACGCUGGCGGCGUGCCUAAUACAUGCAAGUCGAGCGAACAGAUGAGGAGCUUGCUCCUCUGACGUUAGCGGCGGACGGGUGAGUAACACGUGGAUAACCUACCUAUAAGACUGGGAUAACUUCGGGAAACCGGAGCUAAUACCGGAUAAUAUAUUGAACCGCAUGGUUCAAUAGUGAAAGACGGUUUUGCUGUCACUUAUAGAUGGAUCCGCGCCGCAUUAGCUAGUUGGUAAGGUAACGGCUUACCAAGACAACGAUGCGUAGCCGACCUGAGAGGGUGAUCGGCCACACUGGAACUGAGACACGGUCCAGACUCCUACGGGAGGCAGCAGUAGGGAAUCUUCCGCAAUGGGCGAAAGCCUGACGGAGCAACGCCGCGUGAGUGAUGAAGGUCUUCGGAUCGUAAAACUCUGUUAUUAGGGAAGAACAAAUGUGUAAGUAACUAUGCACGUCUUGACGGUACCUAAUCAGAAAGCCACGGCUAACUACGU
This 496-nucleotide ribosomal RNA is filed under the name uncultured bacterium. RNAcentral's name for it is "partial 16S ribosomal RNA". It matches the Rfam family "Bacterial small subunit ribosomal RNA", at positions 28 to 506 of the family's 1533-position model. The record is from RNAcentral.